RNAcentral lists this non-coding RNA (330 nucleotides) under Pan troglodytes (chimpanzee). Lineage: Eukaryota; Metazoa; Chordata; Mammalia; Primates; Hominidae. The record is from RNAcentral.
CUCAGAGGAGGCCACAGGUCCCCGGGCAUCCUCAGCUGCUUCUGAAACCUGGGGGGCUGUGGUGGGAAACAGCCCGGACAGGCUGUUCUCAACACUCUCUACUGCAAACUACACACAGUUUUACGUCGCCAGAAAGACCCCAAAUUUCUAUUCAAAAAGACGGUACCAGUUUCAGUUCCCACCAACCUCAAAGGCAGAGACAAAAGGACGGUGCGCCCUCCUGUAACUUCAUUUCUUCGGUGACUGUGAAGCUGAGGGCAGAGUCCACGCCUGGGGACAGGGCUGCCACCGCAGCGGCCACCGCGCCCGACGCUCGCUCCUCCUCCCAGA